UACAAUGCACGCUUCUGCGAA
This 21-nucleotide non-coding RNA is filed under the name Caenorhabditis elegans. Lineage: Eukaryota; Metazoa; Nematoda; Chromadorea; Rhabditida; Rhabditidae. The record is from RNAcentral.